UGCGGAAGGAUCAUUACCGAAAUGCAGCAGGGCUACGGCCCGCAUACGCAUCUCACCCACCCUUGACUUUGAGCACCUUGAUUUCCUCGGCGGGGACGCCCGCCAACGAGGACUCCCAAAACUCUUGCAGUAGCAGUAUUUGUCUGAACAAACCAAACUUAUUAAAACUUUCAACAAUGGAUCUCUUGGUUCUGGCAUCGAUGAAGAACGCAGCGAAAUGCGAUAAGUAGUGUGAAUUGCAGAAUUUAGUGAAUCAUCGAAUCUUUGAACGCACAUUGCGCCCCUAGGUAUUCCUUGGGGCAUGCCUGUUCGAGCGUCAUUUCAACCUUCAAGCCCAGCUUGGUAUUUGGGUGAUUGUUCGGUUACCCGUUUCAGAUGCGGACCUACAAGCGCCUUCGGGCCCGUGUAGGUCAUCAGUUAUCGGUCCUGCUGUGAUCGAUGGACGGCCCUGGAACAGCGAACUCACCUUAAAGUCAUUGGCAGCCCGCAUCCGCCGGCCAUGAGCGCAGCACAAACGCACUCUAGGUAGGAGCAGAUCGGCUAUCCAGAAGCUACACCCCAAUGUUGACCUCGGAUCAGGUAGGGAUACCCGCUGAACUUAAGCAUAUC
RNAcentral lists this ribosomal RNA (609 nucleotides) under Ascomycota sp. E8509f. RNAcentral describes it as "eukaryotic LSU rRNA". The stretch from base 166 to 319 matches the Rfam family "5.8S ribosomal RNA". Lineage: Eukaryota; Fungi; Ascomycota. The record is from RNAcentral.